This 433-nucleotide ribosomal RNA is filed under the name uncultured bacterium. Its description in RNAcentral is "partial 16S ribosomal RNA". It matches the Rfam family "Bacterial small subunit ribosomal RNA", at positions 29 to 507 of the family's 1533-position model. The record is from RNAcentral.
AACGAACGCUGGCGGCAUGCCUAACACAUGCAAGUCGAACGAGACCUUCGGGUCUAGUGGCGCACGGGUGCGUAACGCGUGGGAACCUGCCCUUAGGUUCGGGAUAACUCCCCGAAAGGGGUGCUAAUACCGGAUAAUGUCUUCGGACCAAAGAUUUAUCGCCUUUGGAUGGGCCCGCGUUGGAUUAGCUCGUUGGUAGGGUAAAAGCCUACCACGGCGACGAUCCAUAGCUGGUCUGAGAGGAUGAUCAGCCACACUGGGACUGAGACACGGCCCAGACUCCUACGGGAGGCAGCAGUGGGGAAUAUUGGACAAUGGGGGAAAGCCUGAUCCAGCAAUGCCGGGUGAGUGAUGAAGGCCUUAGGGUUGUAAAGCUCUUUUACCCGGGAUGAUAAUGACAGUACCGGGAGAAUAAGCUCCGGCUAACUCCGUG